This 1130-nucleotide ribosomal RNA is filed under the name Cyanobium sp. UMPCCC 1001. Its description in RNAcentral is "bacterial SSU rRNA". It matches the Rfam family "Bacterial small subunit ribosomal RNA", at positions 356 to 1501 of the family's 1533-position model. Lineage: Bacteria; Bacillati; Cyanobacteriota; Cyanophyceae; Synechococcales; Prochlorococcaceae. The record is from RNAcentral.
GGGGAAUUUUCCGCAAUGGGCGCAAGCCUGACGGAGCAACGCCGCGUGAGGGAUGAAGGCCUCUGGGCUGUAAACCUCUUUUCUCAAGGAAGAAGACAUGACGGUACUUGAGGAAUAAGCCACGGCUAAUUCCGUGCCAGCAGCCGCGGUAAUACGGGAGUGGCAAGCGUUAUCCGGAAUUAUUGGGCGUAAAGCGUCCGCAGGCGGCCUUUUAAGUCUGUUGUUAAAGCGUGGAGCUCAACUCCAUUUCGGCAAUGGAAACUGGCAGGCUGGAGUGUGGUAGGGGCAGAGGGAAUUCCCGGUGUAGCGGUGAAAUGCGUAGAUAUCGGGAAGAACACCAGUGGCGAAGGCGCUCUGCUGGGCCAUAACUGACGCUCAUGGACGAAAGCCAGGGGAGCGAAAGGGAUUAGAUACCCCUGUAGUCCUGGCCGUAAACGAUGAACACUAGGUGUCGGGGGAAUCGACCCCCUCGGUGUCGUAGCCAACGCGUUAAGUGUUCCGCCUGGGGAGUACGCACGCAAGUGUGAAACUCAAAGGAAUUGACGGGGGCCCGCACAAGCGGUGGAGUAUGUGGUUUAAUUCGAUGCAACGCGAAGAACCUUACCAGGGUUUGACAUCCUGCGAAUCUUUUGGAAACAGAAGAGUGCCUUCGGGAGCGCAGAGACAGGUGGUGCAUGGCUGUCGUCAGCUCGUGUCGUGAGAUGUUGGGUUAAGUCCCGCAACGAGCGCAACCCACGUCUUUAGUUGCCAGCAUUUAGUUGGGCACUCUAGAGAGACCGCCGGUGAUAAACCGGAGGAAGGUGUGGAUGACGUCAAGUCAUCAUGCCCCUUACAUCCUGGGCUACACACGUACUACAGUGCUACGGACAAAGGGCAGCAAACUCGCGAGAGCUAGCAAAUCCCAUAAACCGUGGCUCAGUUCAGAUCGUAGGCUGCAACUCGCCUACGUGAAGGAGGAAUCGCUAGUAAUCGCAGGUCAGCAUACUGCGGUGAAUACGUUCCCGGGCCUUGUACACACCGCCCGUCACACCAUGGAAGUUGGCCACGCCCGAAGUCGUUACUCCAACCCUUGUGGAGGAGGACGCCGAAGGUGGGGCUGAUGACUGGGGUGAAGUCGUAACAAGGUAACC